RNAcentral lists this ribosomal RNA (254 nucleotides) under uncultured bacterium. RNAcentral describes it as "partial 16S ribosomal RNA". It matches the Rfam family "Bacterial small subunit ribosomal RNA", at positions 524 to 776 of the family's 1533-position model. The record is from RNAcentral.
UACAGAGGGUGCAAGCGUUGUUCGGAAUUAUUGGGCGUAAAGGGCGCGUAGGCGGUGCGGUAAGUCUGCAGUGAAAUCUCUGGGCUCAACUCAGAGUCUGCUGUGGAAACUGCCGUGCUUGAGUGUGGGAGAGGUGAGUGGAAUUCCAGGUGUAGCGGUGAAAAUGCGUAGAUAUCUGGAGGAAUACCGGUGGCGAAGGCGGCAUCCUGGACCAUAACUGACGCUGAGGCGCGAAAGCUAGGGGAGCAAACGGG